UGUAGGAGUGAGCCUGCUCGCGAUAGCGGUGUGUCAGUCAACGAAUACUUGUCUGACUCACCGCUAUCGCGAGCAGGCUCACUCCUACA
This 89-nucleotide non-coding RNA is filed under the name Pseudomonas sp. 29. The record is from RNAcentral. Lineage: Bacteria; Pseudomonadati; Pseudomonadota; Gammaproteobacteria; Pseudomonadales; Pseudomonadaceae.